GAGUUUGAUCCUGGCUCAGAAUCAACGCUGGCGGCGUGCCUAACACAUGCAAGUCGAACGCGAAAGUGGAGCAAUCCAUGAGUAGAGUGGCAAACGGGUGAGUAACACGUGACUAACCUGCCUUCGAGUGGGGGAUAACCUCGGGAAACCGGGGCUAAUACCGCAUAAUGCCUUCGGGUUAAAGGAGCAAUUCGCUUGAAGAGGGGGUCGCGGCUGAUUAGCUAGUUGGCGGGGUAACGGCCCACCAAGGCGAUGAUCGGUAGCCGGCCUGAGAGGGCGCACGGCCACACUGGAACUGAAACACGGUCCAGACUCCUACGGGAGGCAGCAGUGGGGAAUUUUGCGCAAUGGGGGAAACCCUGACGCAGCAACGCCGCGUGGAGGAUGAAGUCCCUUGGGACGUAAACUCCUUUCGACCGGGACGAUUAUGACGGUACCGGUGGAAGAAGCCCCGGCUAACUACGUGCCAGCAGCCGCGGUAAUACGUAGGGGGCAAGCGUUGUCCGGAUUUAUUGGGCGUAAAGAGCGUGUAGGCGGCCAGACAGGUCCGUUGUGAAAACUCGAGGCUCAACCUCGAGACGCCGAUGGAAACCGUUUGGCUAGAGUCCGGAAGAGGAGAGUGGAAUUCCUGGUGUAGCGGUGAAAUGCGCAGAUAUCAGGAAGAACACCCGUGGCUAAGGCGGCUCUCUAGUACGGUACUGACGCUGAGACGCGAAAGCGUGGGGAGCGAACAGGAUUAGAUACCCUGGUAGUCCACGCCGUAAACGAUGGGCACUAGGUGCUUGGGGGAGCGACCCUCCGAGUGCCGGCGCUAACGCAUUAAGUGCCCCGCCUGGGGAGUACGGCCGCAAGGCUGAAACUCAAAGGAAUUGACGGGGGCCCGCACAAGCAGCGGAGCGUGGGGUUUAAUUCGAUGCAACGCGAAGAACCUUACCAAGGCUUGACAUGACCAGGGAUCCGGCGGAAACGUCGGCGCCCCGCAAGGGGCCUGGCCACAGGUGUUGCAUGGCUGUCGUCAGCUCGUGUCGUGAGAUGUUGGGUUAAGUCCCGCAACGAGCGCAACCCCUACUGUGUGUUGUAUCACUCACACGGGACUGCCGAGAGAAACUCGGAGGAAGGCGGGGAUGACGUCAAGUCAGCAUGGCCCUUACGUCUUGGGCUACACCCACGCUACAAUGGCCGGUACAACGGGCUGCGAAACCGCGAGGUGGAGCCAAUCCCUAAAGCCGGUCUCAGUUCGGAUCGUAGGCUGCAACUCGUCUACGUGAAGCCGGAGUUGCUAGUAACCACCGGUCAGCAUACGGUGGUGAAUAUGUUCCCGGGCCUUGUACACAC
RNAcentral lists this ribosomal RNA (1335 nucleotides) under uncultured bacterium. Its description in RNAcentral is "partial 16S ribosomal RNA". It matches the Rfam family "Bacterial small subunit ribosomal RNA". The record is from RNAcentral.